Chiloscyllium plagiosum (whitespotted bambooshark) is the source of this 1789-nucleotide non-coding RNA. The record is from RefSeq and is a predicted model, not a curated record. Lineage: Eukaryota; Metazoa; Chordata; Chondrichthyes; Orectolobiformes; Hemiscylliidae.
CCCCCUCCGUGAUGCGCCGGCCGCCAUUUUGUAGCUGAGGAGGAGCAGCACCAUCAUUAUCAUUAUCGGUGGCGGCAGCAGCAGCGGCGGCGCUCGGUCCUUAGUGGCAGGAGCGGGGGUGGGGGAAAAGGGAAAACAAACAAACAAAUAAAUAAAUAACGAGAGAGUAGUCGUCCCGGUCGCCCCUCCCCCCUCUCUCUUACCCACCCUCCCCCUUCCUUCCUCCAACCUGCCCUCCCGACAAAACCCGCCGGAGAGAGAGGAACCAAUGGACUCUCAGUACAAUUACAACCCGCCAUCCGCCGGCCUCAUGGAGCAGAGCGCGGCGGCGGCGGCGCCCACCGAGGAGUUCCCUGAAGGAGCUAAAAUAAACGCCAGCAAGAACGAGGAUGACGAAGGAAAAAUGUUCAUUGGGGGUCUUAGCUGGGAUACAAGCAAGAAGGAUUUGACAGAUUACUUGUCCAGGUUCGGUGAAGUAGUGGACUGUACCAUAAAGAUGGAUGCGGUGACGGGACGUUCAAGAGGAUUUGGUUUUGUACUAUUCAGAGAACCUGCAAGCGUGGACAGGGUCUUGGAACUGAAGGAACACAAGCUGGAUGGACGGCUCAUUGACCCUAAAAGAGCAAAGGCAAUAAAGGGCAAAGAACCAGCAAAGAAAGUUUUUGUUGGUGGCUUAAGUCCUGAUGUACCAGAAGAAAUGGUUAAGGACUACUUUGGAGCAUAUGGAGAGAUUGAAGGCAUUGAACUUCCCAUUGACAACAAGACAAAUGAACGGAGAGGUUUCUGCUUCAUCACGUUUAAGGAGGAAGAACCAGUAAAAAGACUAUUAGAAAACAAGUAUCACAACAUAGGAUCUAGCAAGUGCGAAAUUAAAGUGGCACAACCUAAAGAAGUCUACAGGCAACAGCAGCAACGAGGAGGCAGAGGUGGAGGUGGGUUUGGUGGAAGAGGUCGUGGUAGAGGGGGACAAAGUCAGAACUGGAACCAGGGAUACAACAGCUACUGGAAUCAAGGUUAUAGUAGUUACAACAAUGGCUAUAGCAAUCCAGGUUACAAUGGAUAUGGAGGUUAUGAUUACUCUGGGUAUAACUACAACAACUACGGAUAUGCUCCAGAAUAUGAUACCUACAAUACAAAUGUGCCUCCUGAUGGUCAAUCAAGGAGCGGCAUUGAUGGUCGUGGAGAAGUCUGCGGCCUGGACUGCCUCACCCUCUCUGCUGAAGGAGGCUGUUUAGAGGCAAGUGGCCAGGUCAGCAGAGCAGCUAUGGAAAGGCAUCUAGAGGUGCAGGCAGUCACCAGAAUAACUACCAACCAUACUAAAGAAAAAUUGAUAUAGUUGUUUCACUGCAGCGGGAACUUCAUUGCAGGACACGUGUCACCCUGACCACACGAUUCUCUUGGGGCCGCGCAUUGCGGACAGAACGUGAGGUGUGCUCGUGAAAAUGCUGCCCUGUGGUGGAGAAACGGAGGUAUAAACAUCAGUGUAGCAGAACAGCAUGUCAAGAGGAAAUGUUAAAUCUGAAAGCAUCUUUGUUUCCCUUUUGGGACUUUUUUGUACCACAUCAAAUCUGAAACCAACAUCUUUUGUGUCCCAAAUGUAUAUAGCAUAUAAACAUCUUUUUAUGUUGUAGUUACUUUGCUUUGUACAACUUGAAGCGCAUUCUUUGUGUACUGUGAUAGUCUAUAAUAAAGUUGCUACUAACUGGUGAUGCAACACUUGUUUGUUGGCGUACCCUGUUGUAUGUGAUGCAUUGCAUCUGUUGCUGAAAUAAAACAGUAUGAAUACUCA